AUACGGAGGGUGCAAGCGUUAUCCGGAAUCAUUGGGUUUAAAGGGUCCGCAGGCGGAUUAAUAAGUCAGUGGUGAAAUCCUCUCGCUCAACGAGAGAACUGCCAUUGAAACUGUUAGUCUUGAAUUCGGUCGAAGUAGGCGGAAUGUGUCAUGUAGCGGUGAAAUGCAUAGAUAUGACACAGAACACCGAUAGCGAAGGCAGCUUACUAGACCUGGAUUGACGCUCAUGGACGAAAGCGUGGGGAGCGAACAGGAUUAGAAACCCUGGUAGUCC
RNAcentral lists this ribosomal RNA (274 nucleotides) under uncultured bacterium. RNAcentral's name for it is "partial 16S ribosomal RNA". It matches the Rfam family "Bacterial small subunit ribosomal RNA", at positions 523 to 796 of the family's 1533-position model. The record is from RNAcentral.